This 329-nucleotide unclassified non-coding RNA is filed under the name soil metagenome. RNAcentral's name for it is "partial contains 5.8S ribosomal RNA, internal transcribed spacer 2, and large subunit ribosomal RNA". The stretch from base 1 to 120 matches the Rfam family "5.8S ribosomal RNA", at positions 35 to 154 of the family's 154-position model. The record is from RNAcentral.
GAUGAAGAACGUAGCGAAAUGCGAUAAGUAGUGUGAAUUGCAGAAUUCAGUGAAUCAUCGAAUCUUUGAACGCACAUUGCGCCCCUUGGUAUCCCGAGGGGCAUGCCUGUUCGAGCGUCAUUUCACCACUCAAGCCUGGCUUGGUGUUGGGCGACGUCCCCUUUGGGGACGCGCCUCGAAACGCUCGGCGGCGUGGCACCGGCUUUAAGCGUAGCAGAAUCUUUCGCUUUGGAAGUCGGGGCCCCGUCUGCCGGAAGACGUACUCGCAAGGUUGACCUCGGAUCAGGCAGGGAUACCCGCUGAACUUAAGAAUAUCAAUAAGCGGAGGA